This 247-nucleotide ribosomal RNA is filed under the name uncultured bacterium. RNAcentral describes it as "partial 16S ribosomal RNA". It matches the Rfam family "Bacterial small subunit ribosomal RNA", at positions 524 to 771 of the family's 1533-position model. The record is from RNAcentral.
UACAGAGGGGGCAAGCGUUGUUCGGAAUUACUGGGCGUAAAGGGCGCGUAGGCGGCCUUCUAAGUCGAACGUGAAAUCCCCGGGCUCAACCCGGGAACUGCGUCCGAUACUGGAAGGCUUGAAUCCGGGAGAGGGAUGCGGAAUUCCGGGUGUAGCGGUGGAAUGCGUAGAGAUCCGGAAGAACACCGGUGGCGAAGGCGGUCUGCUGGGCAGUUGCUGACACUGAGGCGCGACAGCGUGGGAGCAA